Molecule: RNA transcript, 765 nt
Organism: Octodon degus (degu)
Lineage: Eukaryota; Metazoa; Chordata; Mammalia; Rodentia; Octodontidae
Gene name: alpha-enolase pseudogene
Exons: 1
Source: RefSeq, a predicted model, not a curated record
AAACGUGUGCUGAAGAACGUCUUCAAGGAGAAGUACGGCAAGGACACCACCAACGUGGGCGAUGAGGGUGGCUUCGCACCCAACAUCCUGGAGAAUAAGGAAGCCCUGGAGUUGCUGAAGACUGCCAUUGGGAAGGCCGGCUACUCGGACAAGGUGGCCAUCGGCAUGGACGUGGCCGCGUCCGAGUUCUUCAGGUCUGGGAAGUACGACCUGGACUUCAAGUCUCCUGACGACCCCAGUAGGUACAUCUCACCCGACCAGCUGGGCGACCUCUACAAGUCCUUCAUCAAGGACUACCCAGUGGUGUCCAUUGAGGACCCCUUCGACCAGGACAACUGGGGCGCCUGGCAGAAGUUCACGGCCAGUGCUGGCAUCCAGGUGGUGGGCGACCACCUCACAGUGACCAACCCCAAGCGUAUCGCCAAGGCUGUGAAUGAGAAGGCCUGCAACUGCUUGCUGCUCAAAGUCAACCAGAUCGGCUCAGUGACCGAGUCCCUGCAAGCAUGCAAGCUGGUGCAGUCCAACAGCUGGGGCGUCAUGGUGUCCCACCGGUCUGGGGAAAUGGAAGACACCUUCAUUGCUGACCUGGUGGUGGGACUCAGCACUGGGCAGAUCAAGACUGGUGCACCUUGCCGAUCCGAGCGCCUGGCCAAGUACAACCAGAUCCUCAGAAUCGAGGAGGAGCUGGGUAGCAAGGCCAAGUUCACCGGCCGGAACUUCAGAAACCCCCAGAGCAAAUAGGCUGCGGCAGGCCAGAGCCUGGGC